RNAcentral lists this ribosomal RNA (497 nucleotides) under uncultured bacterium. RNAcentral describes it as "partial 16S ribosomal RNA". It matches the Rfam family "Bacterial small subunit ribosomal RNA", at positions 28 to 507 of the family's 1533-position model. The record is from RNAcentral.
GGUGAACGCUGGCGGCGUGCCUAAUACAUGCAAGUCGAGCGAACGGACGAGAAGCUUGCUUCUCUGAUGUUAGCGGCGGACGGGUGAGUAACACGUGGAUAACCUACCUAUAAGACUGGGAUAACUUCGGGAAACCGUAGCUAAUACCGGAUAAUAUUUUGAACCGCAUGGUUCAAAAGUGAAAGACGGUCUUGCUGUCACUUAUAGAUGGAUCCGCGCUGCAUUAGCUAGUUGGUAAGGUAACGGCUUACCAAGGCAACGAUGCAUAGCCGACCUGAGAGGGUGAUCGGCCACACUGGAACUGAGACACGGUCCAGACUCCUACGGGAGGCAGCAGUAGGGAAUCUUCCGCAAUGGGCGAAAGCCUGACGGAGCAACGCCGCGUGAGUAAUGAAGGUCUUCGGAUCGUAAAACUCUGUUAUUAGGGAAGAACAUAUGUGUAAGUAACUGUGCACAUCUUGACGGUACCUAAUCAGAAAGCCACGGCUAACUACGUG